AUUAUGGUUUUCAUCUGUUUAACAAAAACAUUGUUUCUUGUGUUUGAUUGAGAAAUAUUGUCUGCCCACUGAGGAUUUGAAGGGCUGCGGUAUUACUGACCGUACAAAGGUAGCAUAAUAAAUAGUUCUUUGAUUGGGAGCUAGAAUGAAGGGCUUUAUGAAAAAUUGAUUGUCUUAGUUGUAAUAUUAGAAUUUAAUGUUUGGGUAAGAAAGCCUAAGUUAAUUAGUGGGACGAGAAGACCCUAUAGAAUUUCAUUUUAUUAUUUGGGUUAGUUGAUUAUGAUAUGUGGUUAUGUUAUAAAAUUUGAUUGGGGUGAUUGGAAAAUAUUUAACUUUUUUUGUAAUUGAUUAUUAAUAAGUAUUAAUUUGAUCCAUGGAUAUGAGUGAUUAUAAGAUAAAAUUACCUUAGGGAUAACAGCGUUAUUUAUUCGGAUAGUUCAGAUAGAUGAAUGAGAUUGCGACCUCGAUGUUGAAUUAGAAUUAUUCUUGGUGUAGAUGCUAGGGUGAUUUAGUCUGUUCGACUUUAAUAUUUUACAUGAUUUGAGUUCAAACCGGUGUGAGCCAGGUUGGUUUCUAUCUACUUAAUUAUUAAGUAUUUUAGUACGAA
This 607-nucleotide ribosomal RNA is filed under the name Nocticola cockingi. RNAcentral's name for it is "partial large subunit ribosomal RNA". It matches the Rfam family "Bacterial large subunit ribosomal RNA", at positions 1783 to 2670 of the family's 2925-position model. Lineage: Eukaryota; Metazoa; Arthropoda; Insecta; Blattodea; Nocticolidae. The record is from RNAcentral.